UACGGAGGGUGCGAGCGUUGUCCGGAAUCACUGGGCGUAAAGGGCGCGUAGGUGGCGCAGGAAGUCAACGGUGAAAGUUCGGGGCUCAACCCUGAAUCGGCCGUCGAUACUCCUGGGCUCGAGCACUGUAGAGGGCAGAUGGAAUUCCGGGUGUAGCGGUGGAAUGCGUAGAGAUCCGGAAGAACACCGGUGGCGAAGGCGGUCUGC
This 207-nucleotide ribosomal RNA is filed under the name uncultured bacterium. RNAcentral's name for it is "partial 16S ribosomal RNA". It matches the Rfam family "Bacterial small subunit ribosomal RNA", at positions 524 to 729 of the family's 1533-position model. The record is from RNAcentral.